ACCAAUUGCAUUUACUAACGCGGAUUUUCGAAGUUUCUAGGCGGAAACUAUGCGGAGCGCAUAGAAAACUUAUAAUCGGUGAAUGUAGUCGUCCUUCCAGCUGCGAACUCGGAAAUUUAGAAAAAGUAGCGUGUUACGUUAUGCGUCAUAUGCAUUUGUUAUCUCAAAUCCACUCACACGAUCAACUUCAUCGAGUGUUCUCAAAUUCCGAUUUCAAUCAUUUAGAUUCGGUUAUAGUUGUAUAGACAUUUCAGUAUCUAGUAAUUAUAUGAUACUUUAAUGAUAUUUCAAACAUUUAUAUUUUUUUUGUGCAUUUAAGGUAAAAGAAAAAAUGAGAAAAAGAUGCAAAAAGAAAAAUAAAAAAUAUUUUUAAGAAGACAAAAUGUGAAAAGUGGCGAGGAUUUUAAAUUGGCACAUAGGAUGGAACAUAGGAUUUACUAGAGUGACAAUAGAUAAAAUAUGGUGGUAUAAUACCUAGACAUAGAGUGAAAAGAAUUGAUUUCCAAUUUCGGCAACGUAAAAUUGAAUUCCGCAUUCUAUUAUAUUUCAAACGCAAACCAAUAUUUGUUGCAUUUAACAAUCAAUUCAAAUAAUACAGUUUUGCGAAUAACAAUACGGCUUCCGACUGUGCAUUGGCUGUUACACUAGCGCGAAGCUAUUCAAUUUAUCUAUAGAAAAGAUAUCAUGUCCAACAUGGUGAUCAAGAAAUUAAAAUCGAAGAGGAAAUUGAGGUAAAAAUCUUUUUCAACGUUCAAAUAUUACUCCAUUGUUUACUACAUGAUCUUCUACACAAUUGCAUUACUAUUACUAAAGGCAGAUAAUAAGUGAUGGAAGAAUAGUUUGAUUAAAUAAAGGCUUAUUCAAUUUACUCUAUAAUCAUAGAGAGUUCCAAGUUCUGCUUUGCUUAACAAUGCUACAAUAUUGCAGAAGCGUCGUUGCAAUUAUCCGAAAAGUGGGGAAACACUCUUUGGUAUUGUUCCAAGCGUCUUCGUUAGCAAUAACAAACUGGUUGUAUUCCGUUUCGACAGAACUAUUUGUCAAACGCAAACUGAAAACAUCGUA
This is a long non-coding RNA of Bombus impatiens (common eastern bumble bee), 1062 nucleotides long. RefSeq lists it as uncharacterized. The record is from RefSeq and is a predicted model, not a curated record. The transcript has 4 exons. NCBI's taxonomy places the organism in Eukaryota, Metazoa, Arthropoda, Insecta, Hymenoptera, Apidae.